Drosophila miranda is the source of this 281-nucleotide long non-coding RNA. RefSeq lists it as uncharacterized. Lineage: Eukaryota; Metazoa; Arthropoda; Insecta; Diptera; Drosophilidae. The transcript is spliced from 2 exons. The record is from RefSeq and is a predicted model, not a curated record.
CACAUUUUAUGGGCCUUCCGGUUGACAUCGUGAGUCGUGACUAUGUGUGCUGUGCGACCGGCAAAAGAGUAAGAGAACGAACACAGAAAGACGGUCUACAGAACUGAACUGCUGCACCAGCGACUAACAACCUGGCCUACACCCGUAUAUCUCUGUGUGAUCAAAAGGCUGGGCGUUCGAAAGGUGUGUCCCACAGCCAGAACAACAAACAUAAAACGACAGUCUCGUUUCUGCUCGGAGGAGAGACUCUUGUUUUUGCAAAUAAAAUUUACGAAAAUAGA